Callorhinchus milii (elephant shark) is the source of this 462-nucleotide long non-coding RNA. RefSeq lists it as uncharacterized. The record is from RefSeq and is a predicted model, not a curated record. The transcript is spliced from 3 exons. NCBI's taxonomy places the organism in Eukaryota, Metazoa, Chordata, Chondrichthyes, Chimaeriformes, Callorhinchidae.
UUAACUGAGAACCUGUGGGUAUGGGGCGGCAGUCCCUUCUCAAAAACUCAGCACCGAGAUUCUUCCCAAAACCCCAGGCUUUUUCACAGGAAAGAAAUCUAGCAAAAAUAAUUAAAGGAGGCAGCGGCCAGAGGGGGAUGUCUGCAAAAAGAAUGUGUGCAACAAGAAAAGGGCUUGUGAUCACAUAGGUACGUGUCCACAAAAAGGGUUAAAGAAUAAGGCUGCAUUUUUAGCCUACCCUAUGCCCUUCCUGGAAUCAAUGGCAUGCACAAUAUUGUACCCAAUCAAAGGGAUUGGCAGUUAAAAAAUCAUCUUUUUGCAAUUGAUGGACAUGUUGAAGUCAGUCUUGUUAUGCUGUUUCAGAUGAUUCUUGUGUCACCUACAAUUGAUCACGUAGCCAUAUGAUGCAAAGACAGUGUAUUCAAACCACACACAUUUGGAUUAAGAUGUAUUUAAAAACCG